Molecule: ribosomal RNA, 484 nt
Filed under: uncultured bacterium
Lineage: Bacteria
Description: partial 16S ribosomal RNA
Rfam family: Bacterial small subunit ribosomal RNA
Source: RNAcentral
AUUGAACGCUGGCGGCAUGCUUUACACAUGCAAGUCGAACGGCAGCGCGGGCUUCGGCCUGGCGGCGAGUGGCGAACGGGUGAGUAAUGCAUCGGAACGUGCCCAGUAGUGGGGGAUAGCCCGGCGAAAGCCGGAUUAAUACCGCAUACGACCUGAGGGUGAAAGCGGGGGACCGAAAGGCCUCGCGCUAUUGGAGCGGCCGAUGUCGGAUCAGCUAGUUGGUGGGGUAAAGGCUUACCAAGGCGACGAUCCGUAGCUGGUCUGAGAGGACGACCAGCCACACUGGGACUGAGACACGGCCCAGACUCCUACGGGAGGCAGCAGUGGGGAAUUUUGGACAAUGGGGGCAACCCUGAUCCAGCCAUGCCGCGUGCGGGAAGAAGGCCUUCGGGUUGUAAACCGCUUUUGUUCGGGAAGAAAUCCUCUGGGCUAAUACCCCGGGGGGAUGACGGUACCUGAAGAAUAAGCACCGGCUAACUACGUG